Long non-coding RNA from Nelumbo nucifera (sacred lotus), 1278 nucleotides. RefSeq lists it as uncharacterized. NCBI's taxonomy places the organism in Eukaryota, Viridiplantae, Streptophyta, Magnoliopsida, Proteales, Nelumbonaceae. The record is from RefSeq and is a predicted model, not a curated record.
GCCUGGUCUCUUUUUAUAUGGAGGAGUCCACUUUCCUCUGUCGAGAGAGAGAAUGGCGUCUACUGCGACUGGAGUAGGCAUCCAAAGGGAUCGCAUUGAUCCCGACUUUCAGCCGAAGCAACGUUAGGUUUUGAUGAAUCUGGAUCAUGCAAUCCCUUUAGAAUCCUACUCUAGUUGCUCCUGACUUCGGAUACGGUGGAUACUCUCUUAUCCUGCGCCCACAUUUAUUAUGAUCCAUAACAACACGGCCAUCAACGGCAAAGCCAUCCGAUCGAGGACGGUUUCGCCAGGCCAGUUUAGAUCACAAGUACUUGCUCGUUUUCCUUUACCUUGCAUAUUUUGUUGCUUCGCAUUACACUUUCACGCGGUCUUUCCCUCCCCUCCCCCCUUUUUGUAGAUUUUUUUUUUUUUUUGUUCAUUAUCUUCAUUGCUAUCAUCAACAAAAAUAUUUAUUGUCUUCUUCUUCUCCAUCCUCCUCUGAGAAUAAUGAUCUUUACAAUAUCCACUCCACUUGCUAGUAUGUAAAUUUGCUUAGAUCGAUCUGCAUGUUUUGUUAUGUUAAUCUGACAGAACAAAAUGGACUUUUGGCUGGGAUUUUCGGAUUAACUGCUUAUGCCAAGUUUAAAAAUUAUUCCUACGUUUUGCUUAUGCGUGGAAGUUUGGAUCAGACUCGUGACCCCAGAUGAAGACACAUGGGUCCUAAUCUCUAGAGCACAACGAAACUCGACCACAGAAGAGAGAGAUGCAGUAUUCUAAGCUCCAGCCAUGUGGCAAGUUUCAGCCAUUCAUUCAGAACGUAUAAGCACCGUACUCAAGCCCAGAAUCGGUCUUUUUUUAUGGAUUCUGGAACGUUGAUUUGGAAUCUUAACUCUAUCCAUGCCUGAAGGAAACUCAUCUAGCUUUUGCCAAGUUGGUGGCGUAUAUGGUUCAGUCUUCCCUUGGUCUGGCCCAAAGAAAGGAAAAAGUAAAAUGACAAAACUGGAUUGAGAUAACCGUCCCAGAUGGAAUAAAGGUUUACUGUUUGCAUGAGGUAGAUGGAAUAAAGGUUUACUGUUUACAUGGGCGAUGAUGGCAAAUGGCAAUAGCAUCAUGAUACUAUUCAUGAUACAUCAAUAACUAAUGUAAUGAGAGGUAGAGGUAGAGGUAGAGGUAGAGCUACAAAAAUGCAAAAAGCCAUUUUCCAAUGGAACAGUGAGUGGCUUUUAUUUAUCUGACAAGUUGUUAGCUGUAAAUUUCAAAUCAUUACACAUCUUUCAAUCAAUUUACUUCCACUUUUCA